UCCCUGCGGUCCAAGUCGCAGCCAUCAUUAUUGGGUCUAAGACAUCCGUAGCUUGUUUGGUAAGUUUUCUGUGAAAUCCGGCAUCUUAAGUGUCGGGCGUGCAGAGAGUACUGCCAGGCUAGAGACUGGAAGACGUAAGAAGUAUGUUCAGAGUAGUAGUGAAAUAUUUUAAUCCUGGACAGACUCACAACAGCGAAGGCAUCUUACGAGGACAGUUCUGACAGUAAGGGAUGAAGGCUAGGGUCGCGAAAGG
This 253-nucleotide ribosomal RNA is filed under the name uncultured archaeon. Its description in RNAcentral is "partial 16S ribosomal RNA". It matches the Rfam family "Archaeal small subunit ribosomal RNA", at positions 474 to 726 of the family's 1478-position model. The record is from RNAcentral.